GACGAACGCUGGCGGCGUGCUUAACACAUGCAAGUCGAACGGAAAGGCCCUGCUUUUGUUGGGUGCUCGUUUGGCGAACGUGUGUGUAACACGUGUGUAACCUGCCCUUUUCUUUGGGAUAUCUUCAGGUAACUUGGUCUAAUACCCGAUAGGAUCUCCUGCUGCAUGGUGGUGGUUGGAUAGUUUCGGCGGUUGGGGAUGGACUCGCGUCUUAUCAGCUUGUUGGUGGGGUAGUGGCUUACCAAGGGUUUGACGGGUAGCCGACCUGUGAGGGUGACCGGCGACAAUGGGACGGAGAUACGGAGCAGAAUAGAACGGGAGGCAGCAGUGGGGAAUAGUGCAGAAUGGGAGGAAGCGUGAUGCAGCAAAGCAGCGAGCGGGAAGACGGCAUACGGGUAGAAAACAGAAUUCGACUGUGACGAAGAGAGAGUGACGGUAAUGGGUAAAGAAGCACCGGCUAACUACGUG
RNAcentral lists this ribosomal RNA (468 nucleotides) under uncultured bacterium. RNAcentral describes it as "partial 16S ribosomal RNA". It matches the Rfam family "Bacterial small subunit ribosomal RNA", at positions 28 to 507 of the family's 1533-position model. The record is from RNAcentral.